GACGAACGCUGGCGGCGUGCUUAACACAUGCAAGUCGAACGGAAAGGCCCUGCUUGCAGGGUACUCGAGUGGCGAACGGGUGAGUAACACGUGUGUGAUCUGCCCUCCACUUCGUGAUAAGCCUGGGAAACUGGGUCUAAUACCGGAUAUGACCUUCCAUGUAGUGUGGGGGGUGGAAAGAUUUAUCGGUGUGGGAUGAUCCCGCGGCCUAUCAUCUUGUUGGUGGGGUAAUGGCCUACCAAGGCGUCGACGGGUAGCCGGCCUGAGAGGGUGGACGGCCACAUUGGGACUGAGAUACGGCCCAGACUCCUACGGGAGGCAGCAGUGGGGAAUAUUGCACAAUGGGCGGAAGCCUUAUGCAGCGACGCCGCGUGGGGGAUGACGGCCUUCGGGUUGUAAACCUCUUUCGCCAGGGACGAAGCUUCGGUGACGGUACCUGUAUAAGAAGCACCGGCUAACUACGUG
Molecule: ribosomal RNA, 465 nt
Filed under: uncultured bacterium
Lineage: Bacteria
Description: partial 16S ribosomal RNA
Rfam family: Bacterial small subunit ribosomal RNA
Source: RNAcentral